This 407-nucleotide ribosomal RNA is filed under the name uncultured bacterium. Its description in RNAcentral is "partial 16S ribosomal RNA". It matches the Rfam family "Bacterial small subunit ribosomal RNA", at positions 30 to 526 of the family's 1533-position model. The record is from RNAcentral.
AUUGAACGCUGGCGGCAGGCCUAACACAUGCAAGUCGAGCGGAGCGGCCGACGGGUGAGUAAUUACUAGGAAUCUGCCCGGUAGUGGGUGAUAACGUCCGGAAACGGGCGCUAAUACCGUAUACUAUCAGAUGAGCCUAGGUCGGAUUAGCUAGUGUGUGGGGUAAAGGCCUACCAAGGCGAAGAUCCGUAACUGGUCUGAGAGGAUGAGCAGUCAAACUGGAACUGAGACACGGUCCAGACUCCAACGGGAGGAAGCGGUGGGGAAAAUAGGACAAUGGGCGAAACCCUGACCCGGACAUGCCGCGUAGGUGAAGAAGGUCUUCGGAUUGGAAAGCAAUUUAAGUUUGGAGGCGUUACCAAAAGAAUAAGCACCGGCUAACUACGUGCCAGCAGCCGCGGUAAUAC